This 253-nucleotide ribosomal RNA is filed under the name uncultured bacterium. Its description in RNAcentral is "partial 16S ribosomal RNA". It matches the Rfam family "Bacterial small subunit ribosomal RNA", at positions 524 to 776 of the family's 1533-position model. The record is from RNAcentral.
UACGGAGGGGACUAGCGUUGUUCGGAAUUACUGGGCGUAAAGCGCACGUAGGCGGAUUGUUAAGUCAGAGGUGAAAUCCCGGAGCUCAACUUCGGAACUGCCUUUGAUACUGGCAAUCUCGAGUCCGGAAGAGGUUAGUGGAAUUCCCAGUGUAGAGGUGAAAUUCGUAGAUAUUGGGAAGAACACCAGUGGCGAAGGCGGCUAACUGGUCCGGUACUGACGCUGAGGUGCGAAAGCGUGGGUAGCAAACAGG